GUGGCGCGUGAUGUGUGAGUUAUUUAAAAGAAUCCCAACGGCGCGACCGGUCAGUGUGAGUCCAGUAGUUACACGAACAAGACACAAUGAAGUUAUUAAUUUGCUUAUUGCCCCUUCUGGCCCAGGCCAUGGCCGACGAUGCCAGCACGCAGAAACUCCUCGUCGAUGGAAACAACCAAUUCACAGCUAAACUCUUUAGUGAGGUAGCUAAAAAUAAUGUCGGCAAAAGUGUGGUGAUGUCGGGUUUCUCUGCCCUCUCCCCUCUGGCGCAGCUCGGCCUGGCUUCGGUGGGCGACUCACACGACGAAAUCUUGAAGACCAUUGGCAUGCCUAAUGAUGAAGCUACUAAAGACGCGUUCACGCUUGUCAACGGCAACCUUCGCUCCGCCAAAGGCGUCGAGCUGAAGGUGGCCAACCGUAUCUACAUCCCGAACAAUGGAGAGCUCAACGGCACCUUCGCUCAGAUGUCCAGGGACGUAUUCAGCUCUGACGUCAAGAAUGUAGACUUCGCCAAGAACGUCGAGGCUGCUGCCGCUAUCAACGCCUGGGUUGAAGAUAACACUAACAAGCGCAUCAAAGAUUUAGUGAGUCCCGAUUCCUUAGGCGAAGAUACCAGAGCUGUUCUUGUUAACGCGAUCUACUUCAAGGGCACCUGGGAGGAACAGUUCGACAAGGCUUUGACAAAAGACAAGGACUUCCACGUAUCCAAGGACAAGACCAUCCAAGUGCCCACCAUGUUCAAGAAUGGCAACUUCAAAUACGGCACCAGCCAAGAACUUGACGCUCAGUUAUUGGAGCUGUACUACGAAGGUGGUGACUCCGCGUUCCUCAUCGUAUUGCCCAACAAGGUUGAUGGACUGGCAGAACUAGAAGAAAAAAUUAAGGACCCAUCAGCUUUGGCCAAAGCCGUAGAGAACAUGUACAAUACGGACGUUGACGUGUUUCUGCCAAAAUUCAAGAUUGAAACUACUAUUGACUUGAAGGAUGUUCUGCUAAAGAUUGGUGUAACAAAAUUGUUUUCGCCUAAAGACGCCCGACUGGAGUACCUCUUGAAGGGUGAGGGAGACGGUUUGUAUGUGAGCAACGCUAUCCAGAAGGCGUUCAUUGAAGUCAACGAGGAAGGCGCUGAGGCUGCCGCAGCUAGUGCUUUCGGCGUAGCGUAUGCAACUUCAGUCGACUACUUCCCGCCGUUACCUAAACAAUUCAAAGCUGAUCAUCCAUUCUAUUUUAUUCUAAAGCACCAGAAAAACACAUUAUUUAUCGGGAUGGUCCAAUUUAAGCAUUUAUUGUCUCGGUAGAGUCACUUUCUCGCACCGAGUCUUUUGAAGCUGACCAUCCGUUCAUGUUUAUACUAAAAGAAAAGAAAAAUACACUUUUCAUCGGAGCCGUCUACUUUUAGGAAAUUUGACAAAUGAAAAUUAUCAUUGUAAUAAUAAUAAUGAAGACUGGAUGAAUUUGCCAUUUAUUGGUUUUAAUAAAUUUGAUACUUUUAAAA
This is an RNA transcript of Ostrinia furnacalis (Asian corn borer), 1495 nucleotides long. It is a transcript of the gene named antitrypsin, with no coding region annotated. The transcript is spliced from 11 exons. The record is from RefSeq and is a predicted model, not a curated record. Lineage: Eukaryota; Metazoa; Arthropoda; Insecta; Lepidoptera; Crambidae.